AGCAUUAUACAGCGAAACUGCGAAUGGCUCAUUAUAUAAGUUAUCGUUUAUUUGAUAGUGCCUUACUACUUGGAUAACCGUGGUAAUUCUAGAGCUAAUACAUGCUGAAAGCCCCGACUCACGGAGGGGCGUAUUUAUUAGAUUAAAAACCAAUGCCCUUCGGGGCUCCUUGGUGAUUCAUGAUAACUUCUCGAAUCGCACGGCCUUGUGCCGGCGAUGGUUCAUUCAAAUUUCUUCCCUAUCAACUUUCGAUGUUUGGGUAGUGGCCAAACAUGGUGGCAACGGGUAACGGAGGGUUAGGGCUCGACCCCGGAGAAGGAGCCUGAGAAACGGCUCCUACAUCCAAGGAAGGCAGCAGGCGCGCAAAUUACCCAAUCCCGACUCGGGGAGGUAGUGACAAUAAAUACUGAUGCAGGGCUCUUUAGGGUCUUGCAAUUGGAAUGAGUACAAUUUAAAUCCCUUAACGAGGAACAAUUGGAGGGCAAGUCUGGUGCCAGCAGCCGCGGUAACUCCAGCUCCAAUAGCGUAUAUUAAAGUUGUUGUGGUUAAAAAGCUCGUAGUUGAACCUUGGGCCUGGCCGUCCGGUCCGCCUCACCGCGUGCACUGGCACGGCCGGGCCUUCCCACCGCGGAAUCGCAUGCCCUUUACUGGGCGUGUCGGGGAAGCGGUACUUUUACUGUGAAAAAAUUAGAGUGCUCUAAGCAGGCCUAUGCUCGAAUACAUUAGCAUGGAAUAAUAGAAUAGGACAGGCGUUCUAUUUUGUUGGUUUCUAGGACGUCUGUAAUGAUUAACAGAAACAAUCGGGGGCGUCAGUAUUGCAUCGUCAGAGGUGAAAUUCUUAGAUCGACGCAAGACUAACUACUGCGAAAGCAUUCGCCAAGGGUGUUUUCAUUAAUCAGGAACGAAAGUUAGGGGAUCGAAGACGAUCAGAUACCGUCGUAGUCUUAACCAUAAACUAUGCCGACUAGGGAUCGGGCGGUGUUAAUUUUUGACCCGCUCGGCACCUUACGAGAAAUCUUAAGUGCUUGGGCUCCAGGGGGAUAUGGU
This 1047-nucleotide ribosomal RNA is filed under the name Microthecium zobelii. Its description in RNAcentral is "SSU rRNA". It matches the Rfam family "Eukaryotic small subunit ribosomal RNA", at positions 68 to 1129 of the family's 1831-position model. The record is from RNAcentral. Lineage: Eukaryota; Fungi; Ascomycota; Sordariomycetes; Coronophorales; Ceratostomataceae.